This 592-nucleotide long non-coding RNA is filed under the name Musa acuminata (dwarf banana). Its description in RNAcentral is "long non-coding RNA (MACU_LNC009173)". The record is from RNAcentral. Lineage: Eukaryota; Viridiplantae; Streptophyta; Magnoliopsida; Zingiberales; Musaceae.
CUACCCGCUACGUAGAUUGGGUAAAUAUAACGGAACGAUUUUAGAAUGUAACGCCUGGGAUGGGUGGCAUCUAUAUAACCCGAGGGCCCACUCUGUUGCAAUCACAACAACUUCUCUCCCCUCGCGCGCUCUCCUCCUCUCGGCUCUCGGCUCUCGACUCUCGACUCUCGGCGAUCUCGUCGUUCUGCGAAGGUCGGAACUGCUCUCCGACGAACACGAACGGGCACAGCUGCGAGGGUCCUUCCCUUCGAUUUUUAUUGCGGUGAUCUCAUUCCUUUCUUUUUUCUCUUGUUUCGUUUCGCUUGGUUCUUCAUCCGUCGAAAUUUUGAUUAGGGUUCAGAAUUUUUGUUGGUCUUGGGGUUCUUUUAAUCGAUUCUUGGUUGUCGACUUUCUUGUGGGAAGAUCGAUCUUUCUGGUUUUCUCGAUCGUUUUUCGUCACCUAGCCAGUCUCGUUCUGGUUUCGAUUGGAAAAUAUGUCUUCUUCGCGUUCUAGGCGUGUGGAGUACGACCGCUUCAUCCCGUUCCGGUCGGCGAUGGACAUGGACUACGCACGCUUUGCCCUAACCGGGCCUUCGAGACCGCAGCGUGAUGC